RNAcentral lists this ribosomal RNA (211 nucleotides) under Candidatus Pantoea formicae. Its description in RNAcentral is "partial 23S ribosomal RNA". It matches the Rfam family "Bacterial large subunit ribosomal RNA", at positions 138 to 384 of the family's 2925-position model. The record is from RNAcentral. Lineage: Bacteria; Pseudomonadati; Pseudomonadota; Gammaproteobacteria; Enterobacterales; Erwiniaceae.
ACUCUGUGCAUCAUCGCAACAUGAAUACAUAGUGUUGCGAGGCGAACCUGGGGAACUGAAACAUCUAAGUACCCAGAGGAAAAGAAAUCAACCGAGAUUCCCCCAGUAGCGGCGAGCGAACGGGGAGCAGCCCAGAACCUGAAUCAGCUGGUGUGUUAGUGGAAGCGUCUGGAAAGUCGCAGGGUACAGGGUGAUACUCCCGUACACAAAA